This is a non-coding RNA of Abortiporus biennis, 89 nucleotides long. NCBI's taxonomy places the organism in Eukaryota, Fungi, Basidiomycota, Agaricomycetes, Polyporales, Podoscyphaceae. The record is from the annotation of a GenBank genome assembly.
UCCCUGGUAGUAUAUCGGCUAGUACACGCGCCUGUCAAGAAUCGAUGCUUUCUACGCGCGAAAGCGGGGUUCGACUCCCCGCCAGGGAG